AGAGAUAAGUGUCACCAUUGCCUGUGGCGGACAAGACUAAUCAGUCACGGGUUGGGGAAAGGGAAAAAAAUGGCUUUCAGCAUAUAUAUUUGUGUUGUGUGGGGUUUGUGGUUGGGGAAAAAUUUUUGAUUUUGUUUGUAGAUUGGGAAGAAAGAGAGGAGAAGCAGGUUAUGAAUGUUAUUUUUUUUGUUUUUAAUUUAUAGGAUAUGAAUGUUAAUUUUUUUUCUUAUUUAUUUUACAAAUGGUUCUUUGUGUUGAUUUUUAUUGAGAUUUUAAUUUAUUUUACAUAUGAAAAGAAAAAAAGAGAGGGUGUUUGAAAGAAAUUCAGCAAGUAUGUUUUUUUUUUUUUGAGUAGAUGCAAAUAAUAAAUUAUCCCAUUAAGUUUUUUUUAUAGGUUUUUUUAACAUUAUUAUUUUUGUUUUUUAUGUACUUAAUAGAUGGUCUCAUUGUGUUUAAAUUUUUUAGAGUUUUUUUAUUUAUUUACUUAACUAGUAUAAAGAAGAUUAUUAUGUCCUAAAAUUUGAAGUUUUAUCAUUUUUAUUUGUAAUCAU
Molecule: long non-coding RNA, 551 nt
Filed under: Gossypium raimondii (Peruvian cotton)
Lineage: Eukaryota; Viridiplantae; Streptophyta; Magnoliopsida; Malvales; Malvaceae
Description: long non-coding RNA (GRAI_LNC003136)
Source: RNAcentral